GACGAACGCUGGCGGCGUGCCUAAUACAUGCAAGUCGAGCGAGCGGAACCAACAGAUUUACUUCGGUAAUGACGUUGGGAAAGCGAGCGGCGGAUGGGUGAGUAACACGUGGGGAACCUGCCCCUAAGUCUGGGAUACCAUUUGGAAACAGGUGCUAAUACCGGAUAAUAAAGCAGAUCGCAUGAUCAGCUUUUGAAAGGCGGCGUAAGCUGUCGCUAAGGGAUGGCCCCGCGGUGCAUUAGCUAGUUGGUGAGGUAACGGCUCACCAAGGCGACGAUGCAUAGCCGACCUGAGAGGGUGGUCGGCCACAUUGGGACUGAGACACGGCCCAA
RNAcentral lists this ribosomal RNA (332 nucleotides) under uncultured bacterium. Its description in RNAcentral is "bacterial SSU rRNA". It matches the Rfam family "Bacterial small subunit ribosomal RNA", at positions 28 to 334 of the family's 1533-position model. The record is from RNAcentral.